GGAGGAAAGCAGGGGAUCGUAAGACCUUGCGCUAAAGGAGCGGCCGAUGUCUGAUUAGUCAGUUGGUGGGGUAAAGGCCUACCAAGACAACGAUCAGUAGCUGGUCUGAGAGGACGAUCAGCCACACUGGGACUGAGACACGGCCCAGGCUCCUACGGGAGGCAGCAGUGGGGAAUUUUGGACAAUGGGCGAAAGCCUGAUCCAGCCAUGCCGCGUGAAUGAAGAAGGCCUUCGGGUUGUAAAGUUCUUUUAGUUGGAAAGAAAAGAUUAUGAUGAAUAAUCAUAAUUCAUGACGGUACCGACAGAAAAAGCACCGGCUAACUACGUGCCAGCAGCCGCGGUAAUACGUAGGGUGCAAGCGUUAAUCGGAAUUACUGGGCGUAAAGGGUGUGCAGGCGGCCUUGUAAGUCAGAUGUGAAAGCCCCGGGCUUAACCUGGGAAUUGCGUUUGAAACUACAAAGCUAG
RNAcentral lists this ribosomal RNA (465 nucleotides) under uncultured ammonia-oxidizing bacterium. Its description in RNAcentral is "bacterial SSU rRNA". It matches the Rfam family "Bacterial small subunit ribosomal RNA", at positions 198 to 644 of the family's 1533-position model. The record is from RNAcentral.